GCAACCCUUAUCAUUAGUUGCUAACAUUCAGUUGAGAACUCUAAUGAGACUGCCAGUGAUAAACUGGAGGAAGGUGGGAUGACGUCAAAUCAUCAUGCCCCUUAUGACCUGGGCUACACACGUGCUACAAUGGCCGGUACAAAGAGUUGCGAAACUGUGAAGUUAAGCUAAUCUCAUAAAGCCGGUCUCAGUUCGGAUUGUAGUCUGCAACUCGACUACAUGAAGUCGGAAUCGCUAGUAAUCGCGAAUCAGAAUGUCGCGGUGAAUACGUUCUCGAGUCUU
RNAcentral lists this ribosomal RNA (282 nucleotides) under uncultured Bacillota bacterium. Its description in RNAcentral is "uncultured Firmicutes bacterium partial 16S ribosomal RNA". It matches the Rfam family "Bacterial small subunit ribosomal RNA", at positions 1098 to 1382 of the family's 1533-position model. Lineage: Bacteria; Bacillati; Bacillota. The record is from RNAcentral.